RNAcentral lists this ribosomal RNA (405 nucleotides) under uncultured bacterium. RNAcentral's name for it is "partial 16S ribosomal RNA". It matches the Rfam family "Bacterial small subunit ribosomal RNA", at positions 360 to 776 of the family's 1533-position model. The record is from RNAcentral.
AAUAUUGCACAAUGGGCGCAAGCCUGAUGCAGCGACGCCGCGUGGGGGAUGACGGCCUUCUGGUUGUAAACCUCUUUCGACAGGGACGAAGUGAAAAUGACGGUACCUGUAUAAGAAGCACCGGCUAACUACGUGCCAGCAGCCGCGGUAAUUCGUAGGGUGCGAGAGUGGUCCGGAAUUACUGGGCGUAAAGAGCUCGUAGUUGGUUUGUCACGUCGUCGGAGAAAGUCCGGGGAUUAAACUCGGGAGGGCAGGCGAUACGGGCAAUACUUGAGUGCUGUAGGGGAGACUGGAAUUCCUGGUGUAGCGGUGAAAUGCGCAGAUAUCAGGAGGAACACCAAUGGCGAAGGCAGGUCUCUGGGCAGUUACUGACGCUGAGGAGCGAAAGCGUGGGUAGCAAACAGG